RNAcentral lists this ribosomal RNA (253 nucleotides) under uncultured bacterium. Its description in RNAcentral is "partial 16S ribosomal RNA". It matches the Rfam family "Bacterial small subunit ribosomal RNA", at positions 524 to 777 of the family's 1533-position model. The record is from RNAcentral.
UACGAAGGGGGCUAGCGUUGCUCGGAAUUACUGGGCGUAAAGCGCACGUAGGCGGCUUCUUAAGUCGGUGGUGAAAUCCUGGAGCUCAACUCCAGAACUGCCUUCGAUACUGGGAGCUCGAGUCCGGGAGAGGUGAGUGGAACUGCGAGUGUAGAGGUGAAAUUCGUAGAUAUUCGCAAGAACACCAGUGGCGAAGGCGGCUCACUGGCCCGGUACUGACGCUGAGGUGCGAAAGCGUGGGGAGCAAACAGGG